AAUAAGAGCGUAUGGGGAAUGCCUAGGCUCUCAGAGGCGAUGAAGGACGUGAUAAGCUGCGAAAAGCUGCGGGGAUUGGCACAUACAAAUCGAUCCGCAGAUAUCCGAAUGGGGCAACCCAGCAUGUUGAAGACAUGUUAUCCGAAAGGAGGCGAACCCGGAGAACUGAAACAUCUAAGUACCCGGAGGAGAAGAAAACAAAAGUGAUUCCGCUAGUAGCGGCGAGCGAACGCGGAAUAGCCCAAACCAGUAUUGUUACGGCAAUGCUGGGGUUGUAGGACUGCGACAUUCGAGCCACAAUGAACUAGAACUGUUUGGAAAGACAGGCCAGAGACGGUGAUAGCCCGGUAUAGGUAAAGAAUGGUGAGAUAGCAGUAUCCUGAGUAGUGCGGGGCACGUGAAACCCUGUAUGAAUUUGUCGGGACCAUCCGAUAAGGCUAAAUACUCCUGAGAGACCGAUAGUGAACUAGUACCGUGAGGGAAAGGUGAAAAGAACCCUGAAUAAGGGAGUGAAAUAGAACCUGAAACCAUACGCUUACAAGCGGUCGGAGCGGAUUUAUCCGUGACGGCGUGCCUUUUGCAUAAUGAGCCUACGAGUUACCGUUGCUAGCAAGGUUAAGCACUUCAGGUGCGGAUCCGUAGCGAAAGCGAGUCUGAACAGGGCGCUUAGUUAGUAGUGGUAGACGCGAAACCGUGUGAUCUACCCAUGGGCAGGGUGAAGCUGUGGUAACACAUAGUGGAGGCCCGAACCGGUUGACGUUGAAAAGUCUUCGGAUGACCUGUGGGUAGGGGUGAAAGGCCAAUCAAACUCGGAAAUAGCUCGUACUCCCCGAAAUGCAUUUAGGUGCAGCGUUGGUUUAGUUUUAUAGAGGUAGAGCUACUGAUUGGAUGCGGGGGCUUCACCGCCUACCAAUUCCUGACAAACUCCGAAUGCUAUAAAAUGAUGACCAGCAGUGAGGGCAUGGGUGCUAAGGUCCAUGUCCGAGAGGGAAAGAACCCAGACCAUCAGCUAAGGUCCCCAAAUGUAUGUUAAGUUGAAUAAACGAGGUUGAACUGCUUAGACAGCUAGGAUGUUGGCUUGGAAGCAGCCAUUCAUUUAAAGAGUGCGUAACAGCUCACUAGUCGAGCGGUUCGGCAUGGAUAAUAAUCGGGCAUAAACAUACUACCGAAGCUAUGGACUUUUAAAAGUGGUAGGGGAGCAUUGUA
This 1206-nucleotide ribosomal RNA is filed under the name Karenia brevis. RNAcentral describes it as "partial Bacterial large subunit ribosomal RNA". It matches the Rfam family "Bacterial large subunit ribosomal RNA", at positions 10 to 1243 of the family's 2925-position model. Lineage: Eukaryota; Dinophyceae; Gymnodiniales; Kareniaceae. The record is from RNAcentral.